RNAcentral lists this long non-coding RNA (673 nucleotides) under Corvus moneduloides (New Caledonian crow). RNAcentral describes it as "lncRNA (ENSCMUG00000017163.1)". Lineage: Eukaryota; Metazoa; Chordata; Aves; Passeriformes; Corvidae. The record is from RNAcentral.
AGCUUAGUGUAAGCACAGCGUGGGGGAAAAGUGGAAGUGCCACUGUCUGAGAUGCCCUCUCCCUGACAUUUCUUGUUUACAAGAAGCAAGCUUCUCUGAUCUGCUGUUUCACAGGAGUACAGUGCUAGAGGACAGACCCUUUGUGCAGCUGAGUGCCUUGGAUGCUUACAGAAAGCUUCAAAAAGCACCAGAAUUUAUUCAACUUUUGUACAGAAGACUUCAGCCUCAGACCAGAACACAUUACAUGGUGGAGGAUGUAAUGCUUCCUACAUCUGCAUCAGCUGUGCCAUAAAUCAGACAGGUGGCCUGAGUGGCCUUGAGCAUACUGGGGGAGCUGUCUUCAAUGUCCAGUGUCCUUUUAGAUGGCUGUUCCUUGACCCCCACUUUUGAGUAAGUGCAAUAUUGUUGUUUUGCAUAACUUCUGCUUUGUCAGCCUUGCAGAGCUGGGCUGGCACCCUGCUUAUGUUUUGCCUGACUUCUGCUUGCCUAAGUUACCUCCUUUAUCUGUUUCUCCAAGGUUGUGCUGUUCUGUUCUACUGUCCUUGAUACGAGUAAAAUAUUGUUCUGUUCUACUAUCUUUAUCAAGUGAAUAAAAUGCUGUUCUAUUCUGCUGUCCUUUUCACCUCAAAGCUAUUUAAAUUUCAGAGUUUGUGCGUGUGCUCUUAAUUUAUUA